This 493-nucleotide ribosomal RNA is filed under the name Salmonella enterica subsp. enterica. RNAcentral describes it as "partial 23S ribosomal RNA". It matches the Rfam family "Bacterial large subunit ribosomal RNA", at positions 27 to 559 of the family's 2925-position model. The record is from RNAcentral. Lineage: Bacteria; Pseudomonadati; Pseudomonadota; Gammaproteobacteria; Enterobacterales; Enterobacteriaceae.
GAUGCCCUGGCAGUCAGAGGCGAUGAAGGGCGUGCUAAUCUGCGAUAAGCGCCGGUAAGGUGAUAUGAACCGUUAUAACCGGCGAUACCCGAAUGGGGAAACCCAGUGUGACUCGUCACACUAUCAUUAACUGAAUCCAUAGGUUAAUGAGGCGAACCGGGGGAACUGAAACAUCUAAGUACCCCGAGGAAAAGAAAUCAACCGAGAUUCCCCCAGUAGCGGCGAGCGAACGGGGAGGAGCCCAGAGCCUGAAUCAGCAUGUGUGUUAGUGGAAGCGUCUGGAAAGGCGCGCGAUACAGGGUGACAGCCCCGUACACAAAAGCGCAUGUGCUGUGAGCUCGAUGAGUAGGGCGGGACACGUGGUAUCCUGUCUGAAUAUGGGGGGACCAUCCUCCAAGGCUAAAUACUCCUGACUGACCGAUAGUGAACCAGUACCGUGAGGGAAAGGCGAAAAGAACCCCGGCGAGGGGAGUGAAAAAGAACCUGAAACCGU